CGGACGGGUGAGUAAUGUAUGGGGAUCUGCCUGAUGGCGGGGGAUAACUACUGAAACGGUAGCUAAUACCGCAUAAUGUCUGCGGACCAAAGCGGGGGACCUCCGGGCCUCGCGCCAUCAGGUGAACCCAUAUGGGAUUAGCUAGUAGGUAAGGUAACGGCUUACCUAGGCGACGAUCCCUAGCUGGUCUGAGAGGAUGAUCAGCCACACUGGGACUGAGACACGGCCCAG
RNAcentral lists this ribosomal RNA (231 nucleotides) under uncultured bacterium. RNAcentral describes it as "partial 16S ribosomal RNA". It matches the Rfam family "Bacterial small subunit ribosomal RNA", at positions 99 to 334 of the family's 1533-position model. The record is from RNAcentral.